This 27-nucleotide non-coding RNA is filed under the name Rattus norvegicus (Norway rat). The record is from RNAcentral. Lineage: Eukaryota; Metazoa; Chordata; Mammalia; Rodentia; Muridae.
UUAAAGGUUUGUGUUUGCACUUAUGUG